GGCGUAGGCGGUAAAAGAAGUCAUCUGUGAAAACCUAUUGCUCAACGAUAGGCUAGCGGAUGAAACUGAAUUACUUGAGGGCACCAGAGGUAGAUGGAAUUACCUGAGUAGGGGUGAAAUCCGCAGAUACGGGUAGGAACGCCGGUGGAGAAGUCGGUCUACUGGGGUGCACCAGACGCUGAGGCCCGAAAGCUAGGGGAGCAAACC
RNAcentral lists this ribosomal RNA (207 nucleotides) under uncultured Defluviitoga sp. Its description in RNAcentral is "partial 16S ribosomal RNA". It matches the Rfam family "Bacterial small subunit ribosomal RNA", at positions 568 to 774 of the family's 1533-position model. The record is from RNAcentral. Lineage: Bacteria; Thermotogati; Thermotogota; Thermotogae; Petrotogales; Petrotogaceae.